GGUUGAAAACUUUGAGUUUUAACGAUAAGAACAGAAUAAAGGGUAAAGUAAAUAGUAUCAGGAUUGACUUUUUAGUGUAAAAAUAUGGUUUUUCAUUAAAAUGAACAAUACCGAUAGCUUUUCGUUAUAGUUUCUUUCUUUGUCUGAUCAUGUGGGGUCUGAAGUUUCAAUCAGUUAAUUUCAUCUGUCAUCAUUUUUAUUUCGUUCUUUCAUUUUCUGGUGUGAACGCCAGUUGCCGGCACAAGCAAUAUUCCAAAAGCAUAGCUGUGGACGGUGUACGUGAGCAGCUCACGGCCAUUGCUUUUUACGUAGAGGACAAAACCCUAAAUUGUUGAAUUUAGUGUUUUCAUCUAGAAGACAUUGAGUUGAUAAGUAGUAUCGGGAUUGACCUAGGGAAAUGAUUUACGCAAACUCAUUUUGUUCUUUUGGACACUCUUAUUUGGACUUAUGCAAACGUAAAUUUCCUAAAACAAAUAUAAGUGCUGAAUAAGAAAAGAUGUAUACGGAUAUCUUUCCUUUGAUGUUUAAUGUAAUGUAAUUUCACUUUCCUUUGAUGUAAUCUUAUGAGUUAUUCAUGAGAACACUAUAUAACCUUGUGGACGAGACCAAAUUGGGUGAUUCACAUAUAUCAUUGAAUCAUUGUAUCUGUCUUGAUUGUGGCUCUGGCGUUUCAAUUUUGACUUGAUUUGUUCUAUGCAUCAAGAAAAUAUAUAUGUACUUUGUUACGAAACCUUAUAAUUUAUUCAUGAGUACACUCUACAACCUCAUGGACGAAGUCAAAAAUGGGUGAUUCACGUAUAUGUUUGUGUUUGUUUUGAUUGUGGCUCUGGCAUUUCAAUUUUUACUGUUGAUAUGUUUCUAUUCAUCAAUGAAACGUAUAUGUACUUUGUUAAGAAACUUGUAUUUUAUUUGGCAAUGCUUUUGGAAUGGCUGGCAUCGUUUUCAAAUAAGAAGCACUUUUAGUGAAUUUUGGAACAAUAAUUUAGCAAUAUUUUUGGAUUAUAAAAGUACUCGGGUGAACCCAUGGUGUCGUUUUGGGGUUUAAACAAGUUUAUAAGGUUCACGUGUCCCCCGUGUCGGAAAGAGAGGGGCGGAGGGUGGAGAAUGUCGAGGGCGAUGGGUCUGGCGGGGCAGGGUCGCAAAGCUCUCAAACAAUUCAACUUGCUCAGGGCUUUGCAGUCCGAGAUACAAUACGAGCUUUCCUCUAAUCCCUUUCAGCAAAAGCGCUUCCAACAAAACAAUUCUGAGCAUUUCCAAACAAAUCCUCUAGGUAGUUGAAGGUUAACAAGCAAUGGCUCCACAUGUCUGCAGUCCACUGAAAUUAUGUGGAACAGGAGCACUAUAAUUGAUAGAGAGUAAUCUUUUCAAAUAUAAUGGAGAAUCUUCUUGACUUUUAUUAACCCAUCAUGCUCAAAAAACAUCACUGUUUAUUUUUCUUUUUUCUGCAGCAAUCAUUUUCUACUAAAUAAAGGGUGAUUUGACACACAAA
Non-coding RNA from Malus domestica (apple), 1489 nucleotides. The record is from RefSeq and is a predicted model, not a curated record. Lineage: Eukaryota; Viridiplantae; Streptophyta; Magnoliopsida; Rosales; Rosaceae.